UGAACACACCCUGCGCACAUGACUCGUGUCCAGCAGCACCACGCACCGCUGCCUCCAUACGACCUUAUCUUCUUGCCUGGUCGUCUUUCCCGAUCCCCAUUCCAUCGUUCUUCCCCUUGCGCCGUCUGUGCCACCAUUUAUCUCUCAAUCGCCGCUCCUCCUUCAACAACACCAUGCCUAAUAGGCUCGCCUCUCUCGCGGCCCGGCCGCUGGAGCUCGCCAUGCUCUUCUGCGAGAGGGGGAGAUGACAGUGCUGGAAGGCGACAGCCACCAUGGUUGCGGGACGAUGGCAGUUUCCGGCGGCGGCGCUGCGGGAUGUUGCAAGGCGGCGACGGGCCACGGCGAGAGGCGUGCUAUGACAGCGUCGACAACCGCGGAGGUGCCGCGAGGCUGCGGUGAUGCUUCAAUUUCCGUGGCUACGCUCGGUGGUGAGCUGCGCUCCAAGGGGGGCCGCCGGUCCUACGACGACCUGCCGGUGGCUGCGCUGCUACGAGGCCGGCCUGGACUGGCACGGGACGCACGGCUGCUGCCGGGACGACAACAAACGGGGCAGCGACGCCUGGGCCUCGGCCUUUUUUUUGGUUCCUUCCUCGCUGGUACCAGGAUACCAGCUGUGUCUUAGUGUCUCUCUUCUCCUGAGCUGGGCAUGUACGCAGAUGUUGUUGUUUUCUCUUUAAUUGCUCGUAUGUGAUCUUCCUCCGAGAUGUUUUUGUCUU
Long non-coding RNA from Triticum aestivum (bread wheat), 716 nucleotides. RefSeq lists it as uncharacterized. NCBI's taxonomy places the organism in Eukaryota, Viridiplantae, Streptophyta, Magnoliopsida, Poales, Poaceae. The record is from RefSeq and is a predicted model, not a curated record. The transcript is spliced from 2 exons.